This is a long non-coding RNA of Patiria miniata (bat star), 2483 nucleotides long. RefSeq lists it as uncharacterized. NCBI's taxonomy places the organism in Eukaryota, Metazoa, Echinodermata, Asteroidea, Valvatida, Asterinidae. The transcript is spliced from 9 exons. The record is from RefSeq and is a predicted model, not a curated record.
GCGUCCGCGUGAAUGCUCCGGCAUCCACGUGGGGCGUGGGUCCUACGCAGCGGCCUGGAAACCCUAGGAUGCCGUGCCAUAAAGGAGCAGGUAGUGCGUCCCUCUUUAUAGGGGUGUGGCCCUGUAUUCACAGCCGGCAAACGCUGCUACUUCCUAUCAGACCGCAUGAACCCGUAAUGGGGGAUGGACUUAGGGGGGCACGCAUAUAGGUUAGGGUACUCUCCUGAUCCUUCGGGGUUGGGGGGGCGUACCGGACAGUCGGCAACUGUGCAUGGCCCUCCGGGGCCGGCCUUUUGCCCAGCAAUGGACCUGACGAUACUGAAAGCGUGUUUGGGGCUGGUAUCCUGGGACCUUCACGUGGUGGCCCUGUUUAAACUAAUCUUACCAGGAUGUGCUUCCAGAAGGGUUACAUCUAAAAACAAGGUACAAGCUACCACGGAUGAGAAGCUUACUGGAGAGAAGUGGGAAAGUAGCGAUGAGCCAACGACUUCAGGGGAAUCCAAUCGUCCAAUCCAAGGUCAGUUUUUUUUCUUCGGCAAAUUGAACAGUUUCAAAACUGAACAACUUCCAGUUUAAUUGAUUAAUUUAAAAAAGAAAUUCACCAAUUUGCCACUGGAUAAUGUUGUUUUGCAAGUUAUUUUGUUAUUGCAGUUUAACCCCCCCCCCCCCCCCUCCCCACUGGAGAUGAGAGGCUGUAGAGGAAUUUGUUGUGAUGACAAUGAAUCAUUCUAAUCAAAGUCAGUAUGGGCUCUGAGAAACACGCAGGAGACAAGAUCUGCCGCAGUCAUUGUUAGCAAGAACUACCAGUUUAAUAAGGUGGUCCACACAGACAGCACGAUAGCCUUGCAGAGGAGAGCGUUUCUCACGAGUGGAUUUACAACUGACUGACCAAUCAACCUUCAUCAGAACUUUUUGAAGUAGUGGUGGGAGGUUGCUGACAGCCAGGUGAUGACCAGCAUCUUUCACCAGUAGUCUCCUGGUCUUCCACUGCAUCUCCAAUUUCUUGCCACCACAGACGGAUGUUUCAGUGAAGUAGUUAUGCUCCAACCUCUCUGCCAUCUGCCAUGCGAUGGGCGCUAGAGCACACCCCGUUGAGGAAGUCGGUAGCUAGGGGUGGAGGAGCAAAGUUCAAGUUAACAAAGCUGAUGUUUAAUGGUAGCUACUAGAGAUCCUGGAUGCUGACUCUGCCUAGGUUUUCACAAUACCUGGACCUAAAAGAUGAGCUGCUUUUGAUGCUGAAAUGCACUGACACGGCACUACUUUGUGACAUCACACAUCAGUCUUUGAUAAGACAGGACCUGAGUAACCUGAGUAAGUCAUCAGGCGCCUGUUAUCAGAACCACAAGAAGAGGAACGCAUGUGUUUCAGGUUUUCCUGCUCUUACCAAGAAGACGUUGCUCUUGAUGCUGGAAUGCCCUGAAACUGCACCACUUUGUGAUGACAUCAAACAUCAGAGAAACUACAUUCAAGGUGCCUUGGGCCUAUUUAGAAUGUACUAGGCUGUUAAAUGAGAAAAAAAGGUUAUAUGGGCAAUUCCAUGCUGGUGAAGACCAAACAAUUAUUCUACGGUUUGUUCAAGUUUGAUUUGCUGAAGUGACACAAUAUAUCUUGGCGUUUUUAAAACUGAAAUAGUUUCGUCCCAUGCGCGCACUAUUUUGUGAGUUAUGGUACACCAUCACAUCAAAGUCUGCAAUGACGUCAUGAUGACUUAUGGAUGCACUGGUAAGGAAUUUUGAAUUGGUCUUUUACUAUCUAUUCAGUAAUAAUUUCUCUCAAUUUUUUUAUGUUACCAUUUUGAAGGCAUCUUUGUGAAAAUGAAUAUUAUUUUUUAGAUGUCAAUAUAAGUCAGAUUUUGCUUGAAAAAUGAGAUACAAAUUUAAUUAUUUAUAAGUCAUAAAAAAUUGAUUUUUUUUUUGUAAAUACCAACAUUUUCUGAGCAAUGAAUUAUUCUGUUCAAAAAUUCUUAGCAGUUUGUUUACAUUUUUGUUUGAUGCUUAGGCCAGCCAUGAAAUAUAGUAAUGUCAGCCACAUGUAAUGUCAUGUAACGUAGUGUCAGUCACAUUAUUGCACAGUCCGUAGUUGAGGAAAAUACAAGUACACAUGUUAUUUAAGUCCAUACACAUACAAGUAGUAAACUCUUUGAACCAAAAUGCAACUGAGUGCCAAGCCACUGUCUGAGCAACUUAUAUAUUGUUCACAAAACAAGUGUUUUAAAAAUUUAAUUUGGACAUCUGUAACCCUUUGAUAAAAUGAAAAAUAUAUUUGUUUUGCUUUCGGGCACAAGUAGUCUAUCAUUGUCCAUUCUGAUGGGGUGGGGUGGGGGAAGUCUUCCCUGUGAGAACUGAAUUAUUGUUUGGCACCAAAUAGUUUGAUUUUCAUAAUUCCCUAUUUAUUACUAAACAUUGGCUAACUUAUUUCAUUUGUUUUGUUGUUGGUACAUUGGAUAACUUUGGUAUUGCUAGAAAAAUAGCAAGUAAAAUUGU